RNAcentral lists this transfer RNA (67 nucleotides) under Marmota monax (woodchuck). Its description in RNAcentral is "tRNA.Undet". The record is from RNAcentral. Lineage: Eukaryota; Metazoa; Chordata; Mammalia; Rodentia; Sciuridae.
GGGGUUGUGGCUUAGUGGUAGAGCGCCUAGGACAGGUGAGGCCCUGGGUUCUAUCCUCAGCACCACA